AGUGAACGCUGGCGGUAGGCCUAACACAUGCAAGUCGAACGGCAGCACAGUAAGAGCUUGCUCUUACGGGUGGCGAGUGGCGGACGGGUGAGGAAUACAUCGGAAUCUACUUUUUCGUGGGGGAUAACGUAGGGAAACUUACGCUAAUACCGCAUACGACCUACGGGUGAAAGCAGGGGAUCUUCGGACCUUGCGCGAUUGAAUGAGCCGAUGUCGGUUUAGCUAGUUGGCGGGGUACAGGCCCACCAAGGCGACGAUCCGUAGCUGGUCUGAGAGGAUGAUCAGCCACACGGGAACUGAGACACGGUCCAGACUCCUACAGGGGGCAGCAGUGGAGAAUAUUAGGCAAUGGGCGCGAGCCUGAUCCAGCCAAACCGCGUGGGGGAAGAAGGCCUUCGGGUUGUAAAGCCCUUUUGUUGGGAGAGAAAAGCAGCAGGUUAAUACCCCGCUGUUCUGACGGUACCCAAAGAAUAAGCACCGGCUAACUUCGUG
Molecule: ribosomal RNA, 492 nt
Filed under: uncultured bacterium
Lineage: Bacteria
Description: partial 16S ribosomal RNA
Rfam family: Bacterial small subunit ribosomal RNA
Source: RNAcentral